Molecule: ribosomal RNA, 386 nt
Filed under: Eulemur mongoz (mongoose lemur)
Lineage: Eukaryota; Metazoa; Chordata; Mammalia; Primates; Lemuridae
Description: partial 12S ribosomal RNA
Rfam family: Bacterial small subunit ribosomal RNA
Source: RNAcentral
AGCCGUAAACCCAAGUAAUUAAUGAACAAAAUUACUCGCCAGAGCACUACAAGCAACAGCUUAAAACUCAAAGGACUUGGCGGUGCUUUAUAUCCCUCUAGAGGAGCCUGUUCUAUAAUCGAUAAACCCCGAUAAACCUCACCACUUCUUGCUAAUUCAACCUAUAUACCGCCAUCCUCAGCAAACCUUAUUAAGGCCUAGAAGUAAGCAAAAACACAGACAUAAAAACGUUAGGUCAAGGUGUAGUCUAUGGAGUGGAAAGAAAUGGGCUACAUUUUCUAAUACAAGAACAACUUCCCAACAGCAGCCUUUAUGAAAUUAAAAGCUAAAGGAGGAUUUAGCAGUAAAUUAAGAAUAGAGAGCUUAAUUGAAUAGGGCCAUGAAGC